This is a long non-coding RNA of Haliotis rubra (blacklip abalone), 162 nucleotides long. RefSeq lists it as uncharacterized. The record is from RefSeq and is a predicted model, not a curated record. The transcript is spliced from 3 exons. Lineage: Eukaryota; Metazoa; Mollusca; Gastropoda; Lepetellida; Haliotidae.
UCAACAAGUCAAUGAUGAGUAGGUGUACUGUGUCACUUCAACAAGUCAAUGAUGAGUAGGUGUACUGUGUCACUUCAACAAGUCAAUGAUGAGUUGGUGUACUGUGUCACUUCAACAAGUCAAUGAUGAGUAGGUGUACUGUGUCACUUCAACAAGUCAAUG